RNAcentral lists this long non-coding RNA (671 nucleotides) under Erythranthe guttata (spotted monkey flower). Its description in RNAcentral is "long non-coding RNA (EGUT_LNC001180)". Lineage: Eukaryota; Viridiplantae; Streptophyta; Magnoliopsida; Lamiales; Phrymaceae. The record is from RNAcentral.
UUGAUAUUUAGUUUGCUUGUUAGUGGUAAUCAAUAUGGAACUCAAAUUAUGGGUUCUAAUAGCGCUCUUGCCUAUGUUGGUUACAACAAUCAAUGCUCAACUUCUGCCAUGCAUAAGACUUCCCAUAUUUGGCACACCAAUAUUUUGCCCAUCUCCUCCACCACCACCUAGGUCUCCGCCACCACCAUCACCACCUCCACCUCCUCCAUCUCCACCACCACCGCCACCUCCUCCAUCUCCACCACCGCCUUCACCUCCACCUCCAUCCCCUCCUCCACCUCCACCAUCACCUCCACCACCUUCCCCUCCCCCGCCUUCACCUCCCCCACCCCCAACCCUUCCUCCUCCACCAACGUCACCACCUCCCCCUCCGCGUUCACUUGUUUGCACGAUAUUACCUCUCCCAUUACUUUGCCCAACCCCACCUGCACCACCUCCACCUCCGCGUACUCCACUUCUUUGCACAGUAUUACCUCGAGCAAUAUUUUGCCCAUCCCCACCACCACCUGUCUGAUUGAUCUCUAUGAUCAACCUCUAUCACACUAAAAAGUACUAUUGUUGCUUUCCAACCCCUCUUUCAACAAUAAUAAUUUUCUUAUGCACGUUAAAUAAUAAAUUUCCUUGGUAAUUAGUAAUCUUUCUUCGAUGGAAAAAUUACUAGCUAAUAAGUG